AUGUGGCCAAACAACGCAGCUGCAUUAUUAAUCAGAGCACGUAGAGAAGUGCACCAGUUCAAUGACAUCAGGGGUUUCUACUUUAGGAAGAAAGCCGCAAACAUUCAACUCUUAGAUUCAUCUCAACUAUUUGGAUAAUCCAUGAAUCCGUUUGAAUCAAAAUCAGGUCUGGGUCAGUCGCUGGUCCUCCGCUGGUUCUUCGUCCGUCUAUGUUCCUGGAUGUGCUUCUUCUAUGGGAAGUAUACAUUCAAAUAUAAAUACAUUUGCUUGCGAUGAGUGGCUGUCUUUUGUCUCUGUGUAACAGCUGUUUGUCUCUCUAUUUGUCUCUCUGUUUGUCUCUGUCUCUGUUUGUCUCUGCACUGCUAUUAAUCAUAUCAUUUACUGUUUCUAUAUUGCCAGUGUUCAUUAUAUCACUGUUUUUAUAUAUUGCUAUAUUUUCUCUCUGUCUCUCUCCCUCUCUUGAAUUGCCAUCAGUUUGAAUCCUGUAUGAUGGAAGAUUUCUUUAGUGGUUGAUGUUGUCCUUUAGGGUUGUGAUUAUGGGCUGUAGCGUGUCUGUUUGAAUCCUGUAUGAUGGGAGAUCUCUACAGUGGUUGGCGUUGUACUUCAAAGUUGUGAUUACAGGCUGCUGCAUGCUGGUUUGAAUCUUGUGUUGGCUUUCGAGGUUGUGUUUUUGUGCUGCAGCCUGUACUGUAUGUGUUGGCCUUUUGGGUUUUGUCACACUCUUCUGUAUUUCUUUCUUUAUCUCUCUCCCACUCUUGUUGGGUCUCGAUCUGUAUUUACAAAGUGUCCAUGUUACUAACUUCACUUCUUCUGAUCAAACAAACCUUAAUAUUGACGGUUCAAUUGUAUGAAAUAAUAGAUAACAAUAUUCACUUUUUCUUAAGCUGCUUGACAGAUGCUGAUCUCCUUCGGGUCUUCCAGACCAGUUUUUGGAUGGUAGCUGCUACACAGAUGCCAGUGAGAUUCUGCUGGUGGUCCUUUGCUCCCAUGUCACCCGCUACAAUCUUGUCCCCUCCCCAGGCCAGCUGCAGAACCAUGUCCAGAGCGUCGGGAACUUCUCCACGUUGUCACGGCAGCCGCUGAAGGCCACCGCCUAUGUCAGCCCCACCAUCAAGGCCCUGCCCCGCCUCCUUUGUUGGCACCCCAAGCUCCACCCCCCGCAGCGAGCAUGGAGUUUACUGACACCUCCAAAGAGCCUGCCACCCUCACUGCCCUUCGUGACAGCAGCCGGAGGGACGGCUGCUACUGAUCCCGCUGGCUCGGGUAACUCACCACACCUCAACGUAAAGCUUUUCCUUGGGGACGUUUGAAUGGGUUUGACCAAAAAGUAACUGUAACCUUAAAUCUGCUCAAGUCCUGCAUAGAAGAGUUCUCCAAAAGGGAAUCGAUCUCUCGUGUCAUCCAUUGAAUUCUAUGCAGAAUUUCUUCGGGGAAGGCGGGACGUCUUUUUUUCUGGAUUUGAGUGUAUGCAGAUCAGGUGUAAUUUUAGCGACUGCUUGACGCUUCUGAGUUUGGUCCGUGCCAAGGGGGAGUUGUUCCCCGUUGCUCUUGUGCAAUAAACCACUGGCUGUAGGGUACCAGUAGUACUAACCUACUAAAGAGGCCUGCCACUUUUUUUAUAAAUAAAGAGCCUCACAAUACUGUACGUAUUUAUAUAUUUAUUUUAAAUACCUUUUUUUUUUUAACUAAUCAGGUGUUUUCCCUCUGGCAACAAGUGCCAAAGAUGCUGCUAAAACGAAUCCGUCCCUGUUGGUUUGGGCACAUUUGGUCUCAUUUUUACAAGGUCUACUGUAUGUAUCUGUGUACAAAGCUUACUAUUAAAUGGCUAUUUAUAUAAAUAUA
Sander lucioperca (pikeperch) is the source of this 1842-nucleotide long non-coding RNA. RefSeq lists it as uncharacterized. The record is from RefSeq and is a predicted model, not a curated record. The transcript is spliced from 5 exons. Lineage: Eukaryota; Metazoa; Chordata; Actinopteri; Perciformes; Percidae.